AAGAAAUUAGUUAAAAAAUAACAUAAAAUUGUCAUUUUUAAGUUACUUACUCAAAGUAUUUCUUU
RNAcentral lists this transfer RNA (65 nucleotides) under Nierstraszella lineata. RNAcentral's name for it is "tRNA-Asp". Lineage: Eukaryota; Metazoa; Mollusca; Polyplacophora; Lepidopleurida; Nierstraszellidae. The record is from RNAcentral.